RNAcentral lists this ribosomal RNA (427 nucleotides) under Megalaria grossa. Its description in RNAcentral is "SSU rRNA". It matches the Rfam family "Bacterial small subunit ribosomal RNA", at positions 352 to 816 of the family's 1533-position model. The record is from RNAcentral. Lineage: Eukaryota; Fungi; Ascomycota; Lecanoromycetes; Lecanorales; Megalariaceae.
CUUGGAGGAAUGUAUAGCAACAGCUAUUUGCGUGGUAAUACUAUGCAAAAUCAACUAUGUUGAAUAAAGUUCUGGUUAGAUUAUGAUUAUGACAUUUUCUAACUAUGUGUCUUGACCAAAUUACGUGCCAGCAGUCGCGGAAAUACGUAGAAGACUAGUGUUAUUCAUCUUUAAUAGGUUUAAAGGGUACUUAGACGGCAGAUGAAGCCAUAGUAGGGACUGAUCUGCUAGAGUUUCUUAUAAGGGGGCUAUAAAGUACUAAUGGUGUAGAGAUAAAAUUUUUUGAUACCUUUUUUGUAAACAAAAGUUAUGGCACUGGUAAAGGCGAAGGCAUCCCCCUAUGUGAUAACUGACGUUGAAGGACGAAGGCUUUGGGUCGCGAGAAGGAUUAGAUACCCUAAUAGUCGAAGCAGAAAAUGAUGAGUGU